AUCACUUCUUGGUCUUUUGGCUAAGAUCAAGUGUAGUAUGUAUUCUUAUCAGUUUAAUAUCUGAUACAUGUUUUAAACUGUCUCUGGCAUGUUGUUUGCCUCCAUUUCAU
RNAcentral lists this small nuclear RNA (110 nucleotides) under Rhinolophus ferrumequinum (greater horseshoe bat). RNAcentral describes it as "U2 spliceosomal RNA (ENSRFEG00010021967.1)". It matches the Rfam family "U2 spliceosomal RNA". From Rfam's summary of the family: U2 is a small nuclear RNA (snRNA) component of the spliceosome (involved in pre-mRNA splicing). Complementary binding between U2 snRNA (in an area lying towards the 5' end but 3' to hairpin I) and the branchpoint sequence (BPS) of the intron results the bulging out of an unpaired adenosine, on the BPS, which initiates a nucleophilic attack at the intronic 5' splice site, thus starting the first of two transesterification reactions that mediate splicing. The record is from Rfam by way of RNAcentral. Lineage: Eukaryota; Metazoa; Chordata; Mammalia; Chiroptera; Rhinolophidae.